Equus caballus (horse) is the source of this 727-nucleotide non-coding RNA. The record is from RefSeq and is a predicted model, not a curated record. Lineage: Eukaryota; Metazoa; Chordata; Mammalia; Perissodactyla; Equidae.
GUGCUUCUGUAUAGUGAUAGUAUCUGGUUGUAGCUUCCACCUGCCACCAUUGGUGGAGGUCAAGAGCUGUGUAUUGUGAGGUCACCACAAUCUUGGCUCAUUCCCUCACAGUUGCUGCUUUUCUAACAUUUGCAUGGGUGGUCUCACUGACUGGCUGAGCUGGAGAACCAGCCUAUCAUCAACAGGUUAAAGAUGCUUUCAUGGAUUCCAGUUUAGAGGAUCCUGCUGGUCACAGUCCAGAGCUUGGUAACUGGGUAUUAUAGAAGGAACAUCAGAAGAAGACAGCCCUUGAGCCCCAUUGGAAAGGACCUUACCUAGUAUUUGUAACUACUGACACUGCUGCAGAACUAGAAGGCAGUUAAUGUUGGAGCUACAUCUCAUAGCUUAAGAAGUCUCCACCUGACAUCUGGUCUCGUACAAAUGCUGGAGACCUCCAAGUCAAACUUACUGGGAAGAGAAGCCGCUAACAUCUGAGGCAGACAGUUCCUCCCAAGACUCAGGACCACGCCUGUAUUCUCACUUUUCCUUCAUUAUGUUAUGCUUGGUACUUUGGACAAUAUUGGACUCACUCGUCUAUCCCCUCUCCUCCUCUAUCACAUCCUAAUGAAAUAUCAUGGUUGCCUACCCAUCUAACUAAUAUAGCCCCAAACACACCGUAGAUUUAUAUUAUGAUGAUGACUUAGACACAGUGUUUAUGACUCCUUGAACAUAGCCUAAUAUUCCCUUG